CUGGUCACAGACCAGCCUCCACUGCAGUUUCUGCUUGGUCUCAGGAAAAUGGAAGUACUAUAUUAUUUACUAACUUCUCACAUCAUGGGAUGGAAGAACUUAGAAGUCCUUUAAACUAAGGAACAAACAUUUUAUCUAAAUUAAAGGUAUAUGAAGAUAGAAGGAGGACUUAGGUGUUUUUCGAAUACAUCUUCCAUGACUGUUACAUAGACUCUGACCACAGAACUUGGCUGCAGAUGUCACAUUCACAGCAUAAUCGCCCAAAGGCCCUUGGAUAGACUGUUGCACAGAUAAGCAGUUCUCCUGCAGGAAAAACAGAAAUCCACUUAAAGCACUCUGAAACUGUGAUUCCAUUAUCCAGGACACAUUUCUACAGAUUAAUGAUCACACUACGCAGCUAGGAUGGGCAAGCCUAAAUGAAAUGAUGUUAUCAGCGAACCCAGAGGAGCUGGAAUCUUGAUAAAUGCUUGCCUUGAUCCAUACAGCCACUGAUACCCAUACUUCAACCAUGCAGGAGCCAGAAGCAAGCUAGUAUUUGGGGAAAAGUGCUUGGCAAAAGACAGAGAAGUGAAACACACCUCAUCUUUUCUCCUGGCAGAUUUUUUCAUCAGAUUUAAUCCACAACAAAGAAAACACCAUUAACUUUUAUUAAACUUUGAAUUUAACUUUAUAAACUUAAUUAGUGACUGAAGUGUUAAAAAUCAGGUUGUCGUGUCUAAGGAUCUUUAGGUGACUAUAACUUUGAGGGGUUUGGUCUACUGUCCAGUUUGAUCUGAUGGUAUAUGCUUCAAUAAACUGGGCCUGUUCAAUACUUUGGUAAUGGAAGGGACAUUUGCUCCUUCCCUGUCCUGUGGGAUGUAACAGGUGAGAGAGAACACAACUAGCAGGUAAGAGAGAUGCAGAAGAAAAGGUCCUAGAG
Molecule: long non-coding RNA, 919 nt
Organism: Callithrix jacchus (white-tufted-ear marmoset)
Lineage: Eukaryota; Metazoa; Chordata; Mammalia; Primates; Cebidae
Source: RefSeq, a predicted model, not a curated record